ACGGGAGGCAGCAGUGAGGAAUAUUGGUCAAUGGACGGAAGUCUGAACCAGCCAUGCCGCGUGCAGGAAUAAGGCCCUAUGGGUCGUAAACUGCUUUUGUGGUGGAGCAAUAAGGCGUACGUGUACGUCGAUGAGAGUACAUCACGAAUAAGCAUCGGCUAACUCCGUGCCAGCAGCCGCGGUAAUACGGAGGAUGCAAGCGUUAUCCGGAUUUAUUGGGUUUAAAGGGUGCGUAGGCGGACUGUUAAGUCAGCGGUGAAAUACCACGGCUCAACCGUGGGGCUGCCGUUGAUACUGGCGGUCUGGAGUACGAUCGGCGCCGGCGGAAUGUGUCAUGUAGCGGUGAAAUGCAUAGAUAUGACACAGAACACCGAUCGCGAAGGCAGCUGGCGAGAACGAUACUGACGCUGAGGCACGAAGGUGCGGGGAUCAAACAGGAUUAGAUACCCUGGUA
RNAcentral lists this ribosomal RNA (454 nucleotides) under uncultured bacterium. RNAcentral describes it as "partial 16S ribosomal RNA". It matches the Rfam family "Bacterial small subunit ribosomal RNA", at positions 341 to 792 of the family's 1533-position model. The record is from RNAcentral.